GGCCCCGUAGCUCAGCUGGAUAGAGCGUCCCCCUCCUAAGGGGAAGGUCGCCCGUUCGAAUCGGCCGGGGUCACCA
RNAcentral lists this transfer RNA (76 nucleotides) under Stenotrophomonas maltophilia. RNAcentral's name for it is "tRNA-Arg". It matches the Rfam family "tRNA". Rfam says of the family: Transfer RNA (tRNA) molecules are approximately 80 nucleotides in length. Their secondary structure includes four short double-helical elements and three loops (D, anti-codon, and T loops). Lineage: Bacteria; Pseudomonadati; Pseudomonadota; Gammaproteobacteria; Lysobacterales; Lysobacteraceae. The record is from RNAcentral.